This 76-nucleotide transfer RNA is filed under the name Truepera sp. RNAcentral describes it as "tRNA-Ala". It matches the Rfam family "tRNA". From Rfam's summary of the family: Transfer RNA (tRNA) molecules are approximately 80 nucleotides in length. Their secondary structure includes four short double-helical elements and three loops (D, anti-codon, and T loops). The record is from RNAcentral. Lineage: Bacteria; Thermotogati; Deinococcota; Deinococci; Trueperales; Trueperaceae.
GGGGCCUUAGCUCAGCUGGGAGAGCGCCUGCUUUGCAAGCAGGAAGUCAGCGGUUCGAGUCCGCUAGGCUCCACCA